This 1900-nucleotide ribosomal RNA is filed under the name human gut metagenome. Its description in RNAcentral is "bacterial LSU rRNA". It matches the Rfam family "Bacterial large subunit ribosomal RNA", at positions 3 to 1985 of the family's 2925-position model. The record is from RNAcentral.
UCAAGCUGAAAAGAGCGCAAGGGGAAUGCCUUGGCAUCAGGAGCCGACGAAGGACGUGACAAGCUGCGAUAAGCCACGGGGAGGAGCAAAUAUCCGCUAUAUCCGUGGAUUUCCGAAUGGGGGAACCCGCUCAAGCAAUACUUGAGCAUCGUGCGUUGAAUCAAAUAGGCGUACGAAGGGAACGGCCUGAACUGAAACAUCUAAGUAGGGCCAGGAAAAGACAUCAACCGAGAUUCCGCUAGUAGUGGCGAGCGAACGCGGAGGAGGCCAAACCGAGGGACGCAAGUUCUUCGGGGUUGCGGACAGACAUCAUGACCAGAGGUAAUUAAGAGAACGGCGUGGGAAAGCCGGCCACAGAAGGUGAGAGCCCUGUAUCUGAAAAUGAAGACUGGCAGUCUGGAUCCAGAGUACCGCGGGACACGUGAAACCCCGUGGGAAACCGGGUGGACCACCAUCCAAGCCUAAAUACUACCUGAUGACCGAUAGAGGAGCAGUACCGUGAGGGAAAGGUGAAAAGGACCCCGGGAGGGGAGUGAAAGAGAACCUGAAACCUUGUGCUUACAAGCAGUCAAAGCACGUUAAGGUGUGAUGACGUACUUUUUGUAGAACGGUCCGGCGAGUUAUAGUAACGAGCAAGCUUAAGGUAUUGAGUACCGGAGGCGAAGCGAGAGCGAGUCUGAAUAGGGCGUAAAGUUCGUUGCCAUAGACCCGAAACCGGGUGACCUAUCCAUGAGCAGGCUGAAGUGAGAGUAAAAUCUCAUGGAGGGCCGAACCGACCCCCGUUGCAAUGGUGGCGGAUGACUUGUGGAUAGCGGAGAAAUUCCAAUCGAACUCGGAGAUAGCUGGUUCUCCCCGAAAUAGCUUUAGGGCUAGCGUUAUUUUAGAUUACCGGAGGUAAAGCACUGAAUGGUCUAGGGGCCGCGAGGUUACCAAAGCCUAUCAAACUCUGAAUGCCGGAUAAUUGAUGAAUAGCAGUCAGACUGUGUGAGAUAAGUCUCAUAGUCAAAAGGGAAACAGCCCAGAUCUACAGCUAAGGUCCCAAAUGAACACUAAGUGGAAAAUGAUGUGAAACUGCGAAGACAACCAGGAUGUUGGCUUAGAAGCAGCCACUCAUUCAAAGAGUGCGUAAUAGCUCACUGGUCGAGUGGUUUUGCGCAGAAAAUGUAACGGGGCUAAGUGUUCAACCGAAGCUUAGGCAUUGCAGUAAUGCAUUGGGUAGGGGAGCGUCGUAUGCGGGGCGAAGUCAGAGCGGAAGCACUGGUGGACUGCAUACGAGUGAGAAUGCCGGAAUAAGUAGCGAGAAUUAUGUGAGAAUCAUAAUGGCCGAAAAUCUAAGGUUUCCUGGGGAAGGUUCGUCCGCCCAGGGUUAGUCGGGAGCUAAGCUCAGGCCGAAAGGCGUAGGCGAUGCACAUACGGUAGAAAUUCCGUAACCACCGAACUUUAAGCUAGAGGGACGCUUUCUUUAAGGUUAUCCCGGGCGAUGGUUGCCCCGGGCGUAAGGGACCGAAAUUUAGUAGGGAAGUAACUGGCGAGAGAGACGAGAAAAGCUCUAGUGUAUACUAAGGUGCCCGUACCGCAAACCGACACAGGUAGAAGGGAUGAGUAUUCUAAGGCCAACGGGAGAAGGGUUGUUAAGGAACUCGGCAAAUUGGCCCCGUAACUUCGGGAUAAGGGGCGCCUGCGAGAGCAGGCCGCAGUGAAAAGGCCCAAGCGACUGUUUAGCAAAAACACAGCUCUCUGCUAAAUCGAAAGAUGACGUAUAGGGGGUGACGCCUGCCCGGUGCUGGAAGGUUAAGGGGAGUGCUUAGCGCAAGCGAAGGUGCGAACUUAAGCCCCAGUAAACGGCGGCCGUAACUAUAACGGUCCUAAGGUAGCGAAAUUCCUUGUCAGGUAAGUUCUG